AGCUCUCUCUAAGAGGAGACACAGGACUCAGACUGAGGCAGUUUAUGAAGAAAUUGUUCACAGACACACAAACAAACAGAAAGAGAGUCUCAUCUCUGAGGAACAGCAUUCUGGAUAUGAAGAUGCUGAUGAAACAGUUUAUGACAAUGAUGUCCCCAUUGGCAGCGGCAUACAAGAACAGAACGUCACACCUGAAUACAAUAAUGAUGUCAUCACUGAUGGACUAACAGCAGAUCAUCAGACAG
Long non-coding RNA from Paramisgurnus dabryanus, 245 nucleotides. RefSeq lists it as uncharacterized. Lineage: Eukaryota; Metazoa; Chordata; Actinopteri; Cypriniformes; Cobitidae. The record is from RefSeq and is a predicted model, not a curated record.